GGUUCAUUCAAAUUUCUGCCCUAUCAACUUUCGAUGGUAGGAUAGUGGCCUACCAUGGUUUCAACGGGUAACGGGGAAUAGGGUUCUAUUCCGGAGAAGGAGCCUGAGAAACGGCUACUACAUCCAAGGAAGGCAGCAGGCGCGCAAAUUACCCAAUCCCGACCGGGGAGGUAGUGACAAUAAAUACUGAUACAGGGCUCUUUUGAGUCUUGUAAUUGGAAUGAGUACAAUUUAAAUCCCUUAACGAGGAACAAUUGGAGGGCAAGUCUGGUGCCAGCAGCCGCGGUAAUUCCAGCUCCAAUAGCGUAUAUUAAAGUUGUUGCAGUUAAAAAGCUCGUAGUUG
This 343-nucleotide ribosomal RNA is filed under the name uncultured fungus. Its description in RNAcentral is "SSU rRNA". It matches the Rfam family "Eukaryotic small subunit ribosomal RNA", at positions 292 to 636 of the family's 1831-position model. The record is from RNAcentral. Lineage: Eukaryota; Fungi.